This 324-nucleotide ribosomal RNA is filed under the name uncultured eukaryote. RNAcentral describes it as "partial 18S ribosomal RNA". It matches the Rfam family "Eukaryotic small subunit ribosomal RNA", at positions 1470 to 1796 of the family's 1831-position model. The record is from RNAcentral.
CCCUUAGAUGUUCUGGGCCACACGCGCGCUACACUGACGGAGUCAACGAGUUGUCCUGCAUCGGAAGGUGUGGGUAAUCUUUUGAAACUUCGUCGUGCUGGGGAUAGAUCUUUGCAAUUUUCGAUCUUGAACGAGGAAUUCCUAGUAAGCGUGAUUCAUCAGAUCGCGUUGAUUACGUCCCUGCCCUUUGUACACACCGCCCGUCGCUACUACCGAUUGAAUGGUUUAGUGAGGCCUCGGGACUGGCGCGCUCGAGUAGCAAUACACCUGCGCGCCGGGAACUUGGUCAAACUUGAUCAUUUAGAGGAAGUAAAAGUCGUAACA